GGCAGAGUGAGGGACCUUGGGCAUAACAGACAAAAGCGGGCGGGCGGAUCACGUGACACGGGACGGCGCGAGCGUGCCGUUGUUACCAUGGUAACAGCCUCACAAGCGCUCCAGGAGUGGCCCUGCGUAUUGCGCAACAGAAGUACGGAGCCCGGCAAGGCCGAUAAACUACGGAGUUACGAGGCUGCACGGCUGUACCGCCGCGCCCUUCCUCCCACCGUUGAGCUGAAGCCAACCCGCGAGCGUACAGUAAAUAUGCUGAAUAGUCAAUUUUCAGCUGUGUAGCAACACAUCUUUCAUCUUGUCAAAGCAUUCUUCCUCUAAGUCUUGGAACCAAGAAGGAGCCAAGCCUGAAGGUGGAGGACCUGCAUAGAAGGGUGAAGAGAGGUGAGGAAUGAGGCUGAAGAGGAACCAUAGACUUAGUGCCAUCUGUGCCAGAAGGUGGCACCGCUGCCUUGGAGCCUGAGCCCUUGGUGUCCCUAGGCAUUGUGGCAGAGCUUAUAGUGGACGGACCCUGAUGCUUCUGGGUACCGUGCUUCAGAGCCACCAGUGUGAUUGCUAUUGAAGUCGCUGAGUGCACUGGAGAACCCUCUGACUGGCCAAAGACUCUGGUGGUUUGGGGACCUUUUUCUUGAGCCUUUAUGGGGGGAAUCUGCCCAAUUUUUUUCGUGAUGCUACGGCCUUGGAAAUUGAAGGAUCUGGGGAUGAUGUACAUCCUGGAGAAAGUUCAGCACAAUUGUCAGCUGGUGGUUGAAAUGCACUCUCCAUCAGGAAUUUUAACUUCAGCUCCUGUAUUUUUCCCCCAGACCUUGUCUUCAGCUGCUGGCAGAGGGUGCACUCUUGUGGGAUGUGUGUCUCUCCCAGGCAUCGGACACAGCGAGAAUGUGUGUCUUCUACAGGAAUUGCUUCCUUGCAGCAGAGGCACCUCGUGAAACCGGGGGAGUCAGGCAUGCCCCGGUGAGGCUAUCAACCUCCAAAAGCGAGCAAUGCAAAAUAAAAGUCUGCUCUUCUU
Long non-coding RNA from Gopherus flavomarginatus (Mexican gopher tortoise), 1012 nucleotides. RefSeq lists it as uncharacterized. The record is from RefSeq and is a predicted model, not a curated record. The transcript has 3 exons. NCBI's taxonomy places the organism in Eukaryota, Metazoa, Chordata, Testudines, Testudinidae.